GCGGUCGCCCGCAGGCCUGGAAGUCCACGCCGGUUCCUGGAGACGGCGCCUCUGCUCUGAGGGUUCCGUGGUGGGGAAGUCUACCCACUGCACCCCGGCGCCCACUGCACGCGGCCCGGAGGACCAUGUCGGGGGCCGACUUUGACUUUCCUGGUGGAGAAAACAGUGAAUAACUUUUCAAAGUCUCCUGUGUUGCUGACCUGGUUAUUGUUUUUGAAUUAUCAUUUCUGAGACAUCUCUGUGGCAUGGUGGCAGAUUCCUGUGGAUUCCAUCAUAAAUCAAGGACAUGGAUGGAGACCAUAUUCUAUUCCCUCUAGUUACGAAUAAGCCUGGAAAAGACUCAGGAAGGACCACGUUCCACAGGACUCCCAUAGUUCUGAAACAUUCUGUUCUUCACAGAGGUGUGU
Callithrix jacchus (white-tufted-ear marmoset) is the source of this 407-nucleotide non-coding RNA. The record is from RefSeq and is a predicted model, not a curated record. NCBI's taxonomy places the organism in Eukaryota, Metazoa, Chordata, Mammalia, Primates, Cebidae.